RNAcentral lists this long non-coding RNA (215 nucleotides) under Lathyrus oleraceus (garden pea). RNAcentral's name for it is "Pisum sativum (pea) long non-coding RNA (PSAT_LNC005718)". Lineage: Eukaryota; Viridiplantae; Streptophyta; Magnoliopsida; Fabales; Fabaceae. The record is from RNAcentral.
AAAAAGUAGGGCAUAUCAAAGUUCAUAGAAACACACAAUUAAACUUCACAAUAAAGAUACAUGCAAUUAAAAAAACAAAAGUUCACGGUAAAACGAGAGCCACUAAAAGUACAACCAUAAUUAAAAACACAAAAAUAAUAAUAAUAAUAAAAAAAACUAAUAAAUAAAAAAUCUAAUACUACCCAAACCAAGGUCUUCAAUCCUCCUCAUAAACA